Molecule: non-coding RNA, 623 nt
Organism: Danio rerio (zebrafish)
Lineage: Eukaryota; Metazoa; Chordata; Actinopteri; Cypriniformes; Danionidae
Source: RefSeq, a predicted model, not a curated record
UUCUUGACGAGCUCGUCUCCGGCGCUCGCGAGCCGCCUCCUCAUCAUCAUCAUAAGAGUUCAUCCUGUAGAGUGAUGGGAUACAGACACAUGUUGGAGAUGGUAGAGAGAAACCCAUAACAGGGACCACAAUUCUGUUUCUCCGACUCGAGCGCAACAGCGGAAAUCCGAAACAAUCCGUUCCUCUCAGGGAGUUCCAUAAGAAAAAGGUCAUCCAAAAAGACAGUCAGAUGGAGUAUCUGUGAUUUUCUUGGAAAAAUAAGGUCUGUCUUCUGUAAGAAGUGUUGCUGGAUGAAUACAAUAGCUUUCAGACCUCCAGUGCGGGCGGAUGAAAUGCAAGGAGAGAUGGAGGAAGAAAUCUCAUCGUCUUGACAGAUACUGAAACAUUAUGGCUGAAUCUUGGAACAAAAGCAGCCGUCAAAACAUUCCAAAGUCUGUGGAGUUUCCCUAACCUGCUGCAGGAGACAUAUAGUGAAGGACAAGCCAGAUUCACAUUGUAUUAACUUCUCUUUCAAGAAGAGUGUGCACACUUUACUUUAUGUCUGCUCUGACUUACAAUGCCGCAUGUAUUUAAAUAUAUAGUUGUAAUUGCAUUAAACAAAAGUUUUGUGUUAACAAUUUGAA